This 30-nucleotide non-coding RNA is filed under the name Mus musculus (house mouse). Lineage: Eukaryota; Metazoa; Chordata; Mammalia; Rodentia; Muridae. The record is from RNAcentral.
UCCAAGGGUAGCAUUGCUAGGAGUUGGUGA